This 201-nucleotide unclassified non-coding RNA is filed under the name Hevea brasiliensis (rubber tree). Lineage: Eukaryota; Viridiplantae; Streptophyta; Magnoliopsida; Malpighiales; Euphorbiaceae. The record is from RNAcentral.
UCGCCCAUCCAAUGUUGAGUCUAAAGCACAAGCCCCUUUUGCCAGGAGAGACACUAUCACUGCUGGUUCUCUUCGCAUUGCCGCGAUGUGGAGAACCGUGUAACCUUGUGAAUUCUUAAGGUUGACAUUAGCAAGAUCAAGGCCAAGCACCUCAGACACAACCUUGGGGUCACAGUAUGCAGCAGCAUAAUGAAGAGCAUU